CUGAUCUCCUUGGGGUGCCCAUAAGGCCGGGCUGAGAGGCGCAACGCGUCAACCCACCGAACCUGAACCGGGUCGUGCCGGCGGAGGAAUGCGAGAUGCGAAACGAC
Molecule: non-coding RNA, 107 nt
Filed under: Chelatococcus sp.
Lineage: Bacteria; Pseudomonadati; Pseudomonadota; Alphaproteobacteria; Hyphomicrobiales; Chelatococcaceae
Description: TPP sequence
Rfam family: TPP riboswitch aptamer (THI element)
About the family: Vitamin B(1) in its active form thiamin pyrophosphate (TPP) is an essential coenzyme that is synthesised by coupling of pyrimidine and thiazole moieties in bacteria.
Source: RNAcentral